RNAcentral lists this ribosomal RNA (466 nucleotides) under uncultured bacterium. RNAcentral's name for it is "partial 16S ribosomal RNA". It matches the Rfam family "Bacterial small subunit ribosomal RNA", at positions 28 to 507 of the family's 1533-position model. The record is from RNAcentral.
GAUGAACGCUGGCGGCGUGCUUAACACAUGCAAGUCGAACGAUGAAGCCCAGCUUGCUUGGUGGUUUAGUGGCGAACGGGUGAGUAACACGUGAGUAACCUGCCCUUUACUCUGGGAUAAGCCUGUGAAACUGGGUCUAAUACCGGCUAGGAGCGUCCACCGCAUGGUGGGUGUUGGAUAGAUUUAUCGGUUUUGGAUGGACGCGCGGCCUAUCAGCUUGUUGGUGAGGUAUUGGCUCACCAAGGCGACGACGGGUAGCCGGCCUGAGAGGGGGACCGGCGACACUGGGACUGAGAGACGGCCCAGACUCCAACGGGAGGCAGCAGUGGGAAAUAUUGCACAAUGGGCGCAAGCGUGAUGCAGCGACGCCGCGUGAGGGAUGACGGCCUUCGGGUGGUAAACAUAUUUCAGUAGGGAAGAAGCGAAAGUGACGGUACCUGCAGAAGAAGCACCGGCUAACUACGUG